AUGUUGGGUUGUUGCAAGACGACAUCCCUGCAUGGAAUCAGUUGUUGUUGCAAAUUUGUUGAAGGAUUUGUUGUUGUUGUUGUCAUUGUUGUUGUUGUGCUUGUUGCUGCGAAAUUGUUUGUUGUGGUUGCGGAUACUGUGGUUGUGGUUGUGGAUAUGAUUGUUGUGGUGGAAAUGGUUGCGGCUGCGGACAUGGUAGUUGUGGAGGAAAUGGUUGCGGCUGCGGAUAUGGUAGUUGUGGCAGAAAUGGUUGCGGCUGCGGAUAUGGCUGUUGUGGUGGAAAUGGUUGUUGUUGCCCUGGAAAUUGUUGUUGUUGCUGCCCUAGAAAUUGUUGUUGUUGCACCAAUGGAACUUGCUCUUGUGGUUGUUGCUGAGAUGGAUUUUGUGGCUGCAAUUGUGGCACUGGAACUCUAA
This 414-nucleotide ribosomal RNA is filed under the name Triticum aestivum (bread wheat). Its description in RNAcentral is "partial small subunit ribosomal RNA". Lineage: Eukaryota; Viridiplantae; Streptophyta; Magnoliopsida; Poales; Poaceae. The record is from RNAcentral.